This 671-nucleotide unclassified non-coding RNA is filed under the name Bombus terrestris (buff-tailed bumblebee). Its description in RNAcentral is "misc RNA ENSBTSG00005020101.1". Lineage: Eukaryota; Metazoa; Arthropoda; Insecta; Hymenoptera; Apidae. The record is from RNAcentral.
UUUCUAUAUCGUCCAUGAUAUCACCUUGAUCCCAUGUAGAUUAUUUCAUUAAUUUUCCUAUGCCUUUCACUUUAGAAACUGACCUAACGUUAUAUUGGAAAGUUUAUGAUAACGAAACAGAAACGCGUUAUGACGUUAAUACCUCGGCUUUGUUACGAUAGUUAGAAAUAACGAAAAUCUUAACUAUCUAUCAUUGAAGAGAUUUCAAAGACUGUGAUCCGCUGCAAUUGCCAACUAUUAUAAUCAGGUCGAUACUUCUAUUUUUAUAAUUAUCGAUGAGAUAGUUCAGCUACAUGUAAUUCUUACGGAUAACAAAAAGAGAAGAAAGGGAAAAAAAAAGACAAGGGCAGAAAAUUAUUUACGCUCGUUUUCUCGCUAAAAGACGGUCUGGCCUAGAAAGUAUCGCGGUUUUUAGACCUGGUCGAAUGGGACAAACAGAUCGUCGCGCCCAAUUGUGCCAGCAUGUCGCCGGGAAUGUAACUCUCUCUCCUUUCACGCCAUUUCAUUGAUUGCGAAUCUCGUUACUUUUUUUCGGGUUGCUAUCAUAUUUGAUUUAAAUUCCACACUAUGAUAUGCGAUAAGCGACAGCAUUCCGUGGAUUUUAUCGUCGAUUGAGCAGGUAAUUACACUUGAAGUGACUCAAAGAGGCUAUGAAAGCAAGUGCUCUCCAA